GACGAACGCUGGCGGCGUGCUUAACACAUGCAAGUCGAACGGAAAGGCCCUGCUUUUGUGGGGUGCUCGAGUGGCGAACAGGUGAGUAACACGUGAGUAACCUGCCCUUGACUUUGGGAUAACUUCAGGAAACUGGGGCUAAUACCGGAUAGGAGCUCCUGCUGCAUGGUGGGGGUUGGAAAGUUUCGGCGGUUGGGGAUGGACUCGCGGCUUAUCAGCUUGUUGGUGGGGUAGUGGCUUACCAAGGCUUUGACGGGUAGCCGGCCUGAGAGGGUGACCGGCCACAUUGGGACUGAGAUACGGCCCAGACUCCUACGGGAGGCAGCAGUGGGGAAUAUUGCACAAUGGGCGGAAGCCUGAUGCAGCAAAGCCGCGUGCGGGAUGACGGCCUUCGGGUUGUAAACCGCUUUCGCCUGUGACGAAGCGUGAGUGACGGUAAUGGGUAAAGAAGCACCGGCUAACUACGUG
This 468-nucleotide ribosomal RNA is filed under the name uncultured bacterium. Its description in RNAcentral is "partial 16S ribosomal RNA". It matches the Rfam family "Bacterial small subunit ribosomal RNA", at positions 28 to 507 of the family's 1533-position model. The record is from RNAcentral.